GGGGAAUAUUGCACAAUGGGCGAAAGCCUGAUGCAGCGACGCCGCGUGAGGGAUGACGGCCUUCGGGUUGUAAACCUCUUUCAGCACGGAAGAAGCGAAAGUGACGGUACGUGCAGAAGAAGCGCCGGCUAACUACGUGCCAGCAGCCGCGGUAAUACGUAGGGCGCAAGCGUUGUCCGGAAUUAUUGGGCGUAAAGAGCUCGUAGGCGGUUUGUCGCGUCCGCUGUGAAAGCCCGGGGCUUAACCCCGGGUGUGCAGUGGGUACGGGCAGACUUGAGUGCAGUAGGGGAGACUGGAAUUCCUGGUGUAGCGGUGAAAUGCGCAGAUAUCAGGAGGAACACCGAUGGCGAAGGCAGGUCUCUGGGCUGUUACUGACGCUGAGGAGCGAAAGCGUGGGGAGCGAAC
RNAcentral lists this ribosomal RNA (405 nucleotides) under uncultured bacterium. RNAcentral describes it as "bacterial SSU rRNA". It matches the Rfam family "Bacterial small subunit ribosomal RNA", at positions 356 to 773 of the family's 1533-position model. The record is from RNAcentral.